CACGUAGGGGACGAGCGUUGUUCGGAUUUACUGGGCGUAAAGGGCGCGUAGGCGGCCUCCGCAAGUCGACUGUGAAAUCUCCGGGCUUAACCCGGAAAGGUCAGCCGAAACUGCGGGGCUAGAGUGCAGAAGGGGCAACUGGAAUUCUCGGUGUAGCGGUGAAAUGCGUAGAUAUCGAGAGGAACACCUGCGGCGAAGGCGGGUUGCUGGGCUGACACUGACGCUGAAGCGCGAAAGCUAGGGGAGCGAACGGG
This 254-nucleotide ribosomal RNA is filed under the name uncultured bacterium. RNAcentral describes it as "partial 16S ribosomal RNA". It matches the Rfam family "Bacterial small subunit ribosomal RNA", at positions 524 to 776 of the family's 1533-position model. The record is from RNAcentral.